This 490-nucleotide ribosomal RNA is filed under the name uncultured bacterium. Its description in RNAcentral is "partial 16S ribosomal RNA". It matches the Rfam family "Bacterial small subunit ribosomal RNA", at positions 29 to 507 of the family's 1533-position model. The record is from RNAcentral.
AAUGAACGCUGGCGGCAUGCCUUACACAUGCAAGUCGAACGGCAGCAUGACCUAGCUUGCUAGGUUGAUGGCGAGUGGCGAACGGGUGAGUAAUGCAUCGGAACGUGCCUUUUAGUGGGGGAUAACGUAGCGAAAGUUACGCUAAUACCGCAUAUUCUCUGAGGAGGAAAGCAGGGGACCUUCGGGCCUUGCGCUAGAAGAGCGGCCGAUGUCGGAUUAGCUAGUUGGUGAGGUAAAGGCUCACCAAGGCAACGAUCCGUAGCGGGUCUGGGAGGAUGAUCCGCCACACUGGGACUGAGACACGGCCCAGACUCCUACGGGAGGCAGCAGUGGGGAAUUUUGGACAAUAGGCGCAAGCCUGAUCCAGCCAUGCCGCGUGAGUGAAGAAGGCCUUCGGGUUGUAAAGCUCUUUCGGCUGGGAAGAAAUCGCACCCUCUAAUACAGGGUGUGGAUGACGGUACCAGCAUAAGAAGCACCGGCUAACUACGUG